CCUACGGGAGGCAGCAGUGAGGAAUAUUGGUCAAUGGGCGCGAGCCUGAACCAGCCAAGUAGCGUGAAGGAUGACUGCCCUACGGGUUGUAAACUUCGUUUAUAAAGGAAUAAAGUGAGGCACGUGUGCCGUUUUGUAUGAACUUUAGGAAUAAGGAUCGGCUAACUCCGUGCCAGCAGCCGCGGUAAUACGGAGUAUCCGAGCGUUAUCCGGAGUUAUUGGGUUUAAAGGGAGCGUCGAUGGGUUGUUAAGUCAGUGGGGAAAGUUUGCGGCUCAACCGUAAAAUUGCAAUUGAUACUGGCAGUCUUGAGUACCGUUGCGGUCGGCGGACUUCGUGGUGUAGCGG
RNAcentral lists this ribosomal RNA (346 nucleotides) under uncultured bacterium. RNAcentral's name for it is "partial 16S ribosomal RNA". It matches the Rfam family "Bacterial small subunit ribosomal RNA", at positions 338 to 681 of the family's 1533-position model. The record is from RNAcentral.